GACGAACGCUGGCGGCGUGCCUAAUACAUGCAAGUCGAGCGGACUGAAUGGGAGCUUGCUCUUGUUCGGUCAGCGGCGGACGGGUGAGUAACACGUGGGCAACCUGCCCGCAGGACCGGGAUAACUCCGGGAAACCGGAGCUAAUACCGGAUAACACCGAAGACCGCAUGGUCUUUGGUUGAAAGGCGGCGCAAGCUGCCACUUGCGGAUGGGCCCGCGGCGCAUUAGCUAGUUGGUGAGGUAACGGCUCACCAAGGCGACGAUGCGUAGCCGGCCUGAGAGGGUGACCGGCCACACUGGGACUGAGACACGGCCCAGACUCCUACGGGAGGCAGCAGUAGGGAAUCUUCCGCAAUGGGCGAAAGCCUGACGGAGCGACGCCGCGUGAGCGAAGAAGGCCUUCGGGUCGUAAAGCUCUGUUGUGAGGGACGAAGGAGCGCCGUUUGAAGAAGGCGGCGCGGUGACGGUACCUCACGAGGAAGCCCCGGCUAACUACGUG
This 499-nucleotide ribosomal RNA is filed under the name uncultured bacterium. RNAcentral's name for it is "partial 16S ribosomal RNA". It matches the Rfam family "Bacterial small subunit ribosomal RNA", at positions 28 to 507 of the family's 1533-position model. The record is from RNAcentral.